RNAcentral lists this ribosomal RNA (482 nucleotides) under uncultured bacterium. Its description in RNAcentral is "bacterial SSU rRNA". It matches the Rfam family "Bacterial small subunit ribosomal RNA", at positions 501 to 985 of the family's 1533-position model. The record is from RNAcentral.
CUACGUGCCAGCAGCCGCGGUAAUACGGAGGAUGCGAGCGUUAUCCGGAUUUAUUGGGUUUAAAGGGUGCGUAGGCGGUUUGUUAAGUCAGCGGUGAAAUCUAGAGGCUCAACCUCGAAACUGCCGUUGAAACUGGCGAACUUGAGUGUAGAUGAGGUAGGCGGAAUUCGUGGUGUAGCGGUGAAAUGCAUAGAUAUCACGAGGAACUCCGAUUGCGAAGGCAGCUUACUAAGGUACAACUGACGCUGAAGCACGAAAGCGUGGGUAUCAAACAGGAUUAGAUACCCUGGUAGUCCACGCAGUAAACGAUGAUAACUGGGCGUAUGCGAUAUACAGUAUGCCCCUAAGCGAAAGCGUUAAGUUAUCCACCUGGGGAGUACGCCGGCAACGGUGAAACUCAAAGGAAUUGACGGGGGCCCGCACAAGCGGAGGAACAUGUGGUUUAAUUCGAUGAUACGCGAGGAACCUUACCCGGGAUUGAA